This 200-nucleotide long non-coding RNA is filed under the name Elaeis guineensis (African oil palm). RNAcentral's name for it is "long non-coding RNA (EGUI_LNC072622)". Lineage: Eukaryota; Viridiplantae; Streptophyta; Magnoliopsida; Arecales; Arecaceae. The record is from RNAcentral.
AGGGGCACAAAUAGCUUGGCAUGAGUAGCUAUGGUGGAACAUCAACAGUAGCGGUAAAGGAGUGGCUUGGUAUGAGCAGUAGGUAGAUCAAUUGAGAAUAUCUCCAAAUGGCCGUGGGAGUGGCCGUGAGGCAUGAUGUAGAGGCUGAGAGCAUCACAGGAAGCGAACAGGGACGUCAAGGAUCCUGGCAUUGUAGACCU